UUUUUUAAGCUGGUAAUUAAGAUUUUU
RNAcentral lists this non-coding RNA (27 nucleotides) under Cricetulus griseus (Chinese hamster). The record is from RNAcentral. Lineage: Eukaryota; Metazoa; Chordata; Mammalia; Rodentia; Cricetidae.